UCCUGCAAUAUCUUUUUUCAGACUGUCCACAAAACAGAUGGGGACCUAAUUGUGUGAACGAAUGUCCACGAUGCCAGCAUGGGGAAUGUUCCCCGGUCACAGGCGAGUGCCACUGCCAACGCGGAUGGCAAGGUGAGAGUUGUGAGCUCCGCGUAACUACUACGACGACAACAACAGCUGCUACUCCAGAAGCACCACUAAUAACCUAUACCAGCACUAAAACUUCUUCCAUGCCUACACCUUCCACAACCACUGUUAGUGCUACAACUGAAACUAAAACCACUGCUAAAGCUACUGCCAUAUUGCCCGCUUUUACAUCUACAACAGCAACCACAUCGGUAGCAAUUACUACUAUAGCUCCUACUAUCGCUUCUACAAAAAUAACUUCUCCUAUGACUAGCGAAAAGACUACCGAAGUCGUUCAAACUACCACUGAAAGCCAUAAAACAAUAUUUCAAACAACAACUGAAUCACACAAACAACCUGUAUUGGUAUCGAUUACGAAAGCCAUUGAGCCAGUCGUAACAGAGAGCCUACAGACAACUCCAGUUUAUAAUAAAACUGAAAUCAUACUACAACAACAACCUACUGCACCAAGUAUAGAAGUCAAAAUGAUACCUACUGUCGCAUCUAAAAAUAUUAUAAAAGACAAAAAC
Molecule: long non-coding RNA, 656 nt
Organism: Manduca sexta (tobacco hornworm)
Lineage: Eukaryota; Metazoa; Arthropoda; Insecta; Lepidoptera; Sphingidae
Exons: 2
Source: RefSeq, a predicted model, not a curated record